RNAcentral lists this ribosomal RNA (216 nucleotides) under Glomeromycotina sp. RNAcentral describes it as "partial small subunit ribosomal RNA". The stretch from base 40 to 216 matches the Rfam family "Eukaryotic small subunit ribosomal RNA", at positions 686 to 864 of the family's 1831-position model. Lineage: Eukaryota; Fungi; Glomeromycota. The record is from RNAcentral.
GGGUCAGUAGGUUGGUCGUGCCACCGGUACGUACUGGUCUAACUGAUUCCUCCUUCCUGAAGAACCGUAAUGCCAUUAAUUUGGUGUUGCGGGGAAACAGGACUGUUACUUCGAAAAAAUUAGAGUGUUUAAAGCAAGCUAACGCUUGAAUACAUUAGCAUGGAAUAAUGAAAUAGGACGAUCGAUCCUAUUUUGUUGGUUUCUAGGAUUGACGUA